Molecule: RNA transcript, 2655 nt
Organism: Lynx canadensis (Canada lynx)
Lineage: Eukaryota; Metazoa; Chordata; Mammalia; Carnivora; Felidae
Gene: TMED3
Gene name: transmembrane p24 trafficking protein 3
Exons: 4
Source: RefSeq, a predicted model, not a curated record
CGCCGCCCCGGCCGGGACCGGACCGGAGCGCCAUGGGCCCCGCGGGCGCGCGUCCCGGCUCCCCGCCGUCGCCACCGCUGCUGCUGCUGCUGCUGCUGCUGCUCCUGCUCCGGGCCGAGCGGCCGCGGGGCGCCGAGCUCACCUUCGAGCUGCCCGACAGCGCCAAGCAGUGCUUCCACGAGGACGUGGAGCGGGGCGCCAAGUUCUCCCUGGACUACCAGGUCAUUACCGGAGGCCACUAUGACGUGGACUGCUACGUGGAGGACCCCCUGGGAAAGACCAUCUACAGGGAAACCAAGAAGCAGUACGACAGCUUCACGCACCGGGCCGAGGUCAAGGGCGUUUAUCAGUUUUGCUUCAGCAAUGAGUUCUCCACCUUCUCUCACAAGACCGUCUACUUUGACUUCCAAGUGGGCGACGAGCCCCCCAUCCUCCCAGACAUGGGGAACAGGGUCACGGCCCUCACCCAGUGAUUCUGGGCCCUGGGAGGAGCCUGCACCUGCCGACCUGCACUGCUGAGCCCCCAGCCAGGCCCAGGGCCCAGGGAGCGCCCGCUCCGAGUCUCUGAAUGAGCGUGUGACGCACCUAAGCGUAGAGGGUGGAAUUCUAGCCCGGAAACCCACGUGGGCCCUUCGCUCGUGCUUAAAGGCAAAGUCUGUGUGUGCACGCAUAGUGAGUGUGUGUGCGUGUGCAGGUCCCACAGGUGCGCAUGCCUACGUGUGCGUCCCCGGCCCCCGCUGAUCUCAAGGACACCCCGAACCUGCUUUUGUGGCGGGGCCCUCGGUGCCCACGUCUGUCCGCCGCUCUGCCCUGUCUUGCCCACAGAACCGCAGUGACCAGUGCAGCUGGACUAGAGAGGCUUCCAGAAAUGCCGUGUCGUGAUUUGGCCUGGACACAGGCUCGCAGAGUAGCCUGACCCCAUGCCGCGGCCUCCUUCCUAGCCCUUCCCGGUUUAUCCGCUGUUCAUUCUGUGAUGGCGGACGUGCCUUCGUGAGCUCCAGAAGCGUCACCUGAAGAGCUGGGGUGGGGGGCGGGGGGGGGGGUGUCAGCGCCUACGAAUGCCGCCGUGCGUCUGGCAGAGGUCUGUGCCCCGGGUGGUCCUGUUGUGGGCGGCAUUUGAAGCCGGUUGACACAUCAAGGAGCUCCUUGGUGUCAGGAGCCCUUCCAGGAUCAGGUGGCCGCUUCUCAGCGUCUGACGCCUGUAGGUACGAGCCGCCUACCAAGUGUGGGGCAGGUGACGACGCCGGGCGCCAGCCCGAGAUGACAGGGUGUGCAGGUGUCCCCGAGAAAGUGGGUUUGUUACCCUGGAUUCUGCCCUUUGAACUGCUGCCCUGUGGAGCUUCCCUAAUUCCACCUGGGUGGCAGUGACCCUGUCGCUUCCUGUCUGGGUGGCACUUUGCAGCUCUUCCCAUGGACCCGGGUGACAGCAGCCGCCCGCGUGUCCACAGGAAACCGUAGCCCUGGCGGCACACCAGUCAUAGGGUGGACACGAUACGUGGCCUUGGAAACUCCGGGGCCGAAAGGAGGCCUCGUCCUCCCUCGCGUGGCCUGGUGUGGCCCCUGCCGUGGCCCGGAGUGAACAGCCCGUGAGGCAGGUAAGGGCGACGUUGCUUUUUGGCCACAGUCUCCUAUUUGCCUCCCGGAAACAGUUCAUUUGUGACACAAGGGAGGGUGUUGGGGGUCAGUCAGGCGGUGGCUCCGUGACUCGGUCUCCCCUCCCUUCCUGCGCUCACGGUGUGGACAGUUCACCUCUGCGCUUUGGGGACCGAAGCAGGUGUCUCUGGGACGCGUCGCGAGCUUCUCUGGCCUUGUUGGGAUAGAAUCUUCUAGGUUUCAGAUAAAUGCGUGUCAUAGGUCACCUGUGAGUGAGCCUCAUGACCACCGUGGGCUUGUGAUUCGUGGCGUAACCGAGCGUCCGAAGCGGACCACGCGCACCUCAGUGCCGCAGGCGGGCGGUCCGGGCCACGCGGGUCCCCAGGCUGGGUCGGGGUGAGGCCGGGGAUUAGCUUCCGCGCUCGCCAGACUGUUGGCGGGUUCGGGUCCUUGUCGGCUGUUGUGCCCCGGCCCCCAGAGACCUCCUCCGGUCCCCGCACGUGCGCGUGUCCUCUAGGCUGGCAGCUGGAGCUCUGCUCCCUCUCGGGGGCUCCUGUGGUCAGGUGAGGCGCUGGGGUGGUGGCCGUGGCGUGAGGGUGGCCGUGCCGUGUGACCUAGUCACAGCUCAUCGUGUCGCGGGAGUCGGGCAGGUGGUGGGGAGGGGGAAGGGAUUCAAGGUUCUGCCUCAGCACGCGGAGCCGGGUGAAGGGGGUCCCACGUGAGCGUGUGUGUGUAAGCGCGUGCGUUCACGUGUGCGGUCGGGUGUGUGUGCGUACACGAGAGGGGUGUCUUCCUGUGCCUGUGUGUGUACAGGAACGGGCCCCCACGACUGUGACUCACGUCUCUGACCUCGGGCCGGUCACACGGCCUCUUGGAGCCUCAGUUUUCUCAUCUGCGUGCGGGGCCAGCGGUCAGUCAGGUCUCCUACCAGCGGGGUGGCGAUCCCCGCCCGCCACUGUCCCGAAUGUGAGAUGGAGUCGGCCUGUGUGACCAUCCACGAGGCCCUGAAGACGGUGAUCGACUCCCAGACGCAUUACCGGCUCCGCGAGGCCCAGGACCGGG